UACGUAGGGUGCGAGCGUUGUCCGGAUUUAUUGGGCGUAAAGAGCUUGUAGGCGGCUCGUCGCGUCGGGUGUGAAAACUUGCGGCUUAACCGCAAGCCUGCACCCGAUACGGGCGGGCUAGAGUUCGGCAGGGGAGACUGGAAUUCCUGGUGUAGCGGUGAAAUGCGCAGAUAUCAGGAGGAACACCGGUGGCGAAGGCGGUUCUCUGGGCAUGUUCUGACGCUGAGGAGCGAAAGUGUGGGGAGCGAACAGG
Molecule: ribosomal RNA, 253 nt
Filed under: uncultured bacterium
Lineage: Bacteria
Description: partial 16S ribosomal RNA
Rfam family: Bacterial small subunit ribosomal RNA
Source: RNAcentral